RNAcentral lists this ribosomal RNA (365 nucleotides) under uncultured Methanolinea sp. Its description in RNAcentral is "bacterial SSU rRNA". It matches the Rfam family "Archaeal small subunit ribosomal RNA", at positions 975 to 1338 of the family's 1478-position model. The record is from RNAcentral. Lineage: Archaea; Methanobacteriati; Methanobacteriota; Methanomicrobia; Methanomicrobiales; Methanoregulaceae.
ACUAGCUGAGAGGAGGUGCAUGGCCGUCGUCAGUUCGUACUGUGAAGCAUCCUGUUAAGUCAGGCAACGAGCGAGACCCACGCCAACAGUUGCCAGCUCGUCCUCCGGGAUGGUGGGGACACUGUUGGGACCGCCUCUGCGUAAAGAGGAGGAAGGAAUGGGCAACGGUAGGUCAGCAUGCCCCGAAUUAUCCGGGCUACACGCGGGCUACAAUGGUCAGGACAAUGGGUAUCGACACCGAGAGGUGGAGGCAAUCUCCUAAACCUGUCCUUAGUUCGGAUUGUGGGCUGCAACUCGCCCACAUGAAGCUGGAAUCCGUAGUAAUCGCGUUUCAAAAUAGCGCGGUGAAUAUGUCCCUGCUCCUU